GGCCUCAAACAUGCAAGUCUAGGGGGUAGCAAUACCACCGGCGGACGGGUGCGUAACGCGUGGGAAUAUACCUAUCAGUACGGAACAACUGCGGGAAACUGCAGCUAAUACCGUAUACGUCCGUAAGGAGAAAGAUUUAUCGCUGAUAGAUUAGCCCGCGUUCGAUUAGCUAGUUGGUGAGGUAACGGCUCACCAAGGCGACGAUCGAUAGCUGUUCUGAGAGGAAGAUCAGCCACACUGGGACUGAGACACGGCCCAGACUCCUACGGGAGGCAGCAGUUGGGAAUCUUGGACAAUGGGGGAAACCCUGAUCCAGCCAUGCCGCGUGAGUGAUGAAGGCCUUCGGGUUGUAAAACUCUUUCGACGGGGACGAUAAUGACGGUACCCGUAGAA
Molecule: ribosomal RNA, 393 nt
Filed under: grassland soil clone saf1_209
Lineage: Bacteria
Description: bacterial SSU rRNA
Rfam family: Bacterial small subunit ribosomal RNA
Source: RNAcentral